Oreochromis niloticus (Nile tilapia) is the source of this 2373-nucleotide long non-coding RNA. NCBI's taxonomy places the organism in Eukaryota, Metazoa, Chordata, Actinopteri, Cichliformes, Cichlidae. The record is from Ensembl.
AUGAUCUGCCGCUGGAUUCCGAAAACCUCAGGGUUCAAAUUUAUGUACUCUGUCCAAAUUUUAAAAACUACAACCACCCAAGUGAGAGCACUAAUUCAGAUGUUGCUGGCAUUAGGUCUGCAUUGGUGUGUGUCGGUGUGUUGGUGUGUGUUGGGUCCGGGCAUUAGCGGAACAUUCCUCAUUUAUUUACACUCGGCUUCAAAGACUCACUCCCGCAUUGGCGUCUGCUUCAUCCAGUCCAUCAAACAGCAAACAAUCCAGGUCUACAAUUAUCUUUCCUUUGAGACAUCUUCACAAGGCCAAGAGAAGAGAACAACAGACUGCAGAGUGAGAGAACUGCAGCAGGAAAAUGAGGGAAGCCUGAGGAAACUUCAGGAGACGGCAGAGCAGUUCGAGUGGCUCUGUCAGCAACAGCGUUACUGGAUGUCUUGUGUGAAGAGGUUCAAAGACUGCCUCAUGGAGGAGAGAGAAGCUCUGCUGCGACAGGUCAGCAGGUUGGAAAAGAAAGCUGAGAAACUAAAGCGUUCACACGACGGCAGUCCAACACGGAGGCUUGUCUGCCCCCUUCAGGACGCCGAGAGCUGUGACAGUAUAACAUCAUGGGAGGCAGAUGCAGUGACCAACCUGGAGUCUCAGGUGGAGAAGUCAAACGUGCUGUAUGAAGAGCUCCUCGACCAGGCAGGGAGCCCUAUCAACGGAUACCAAAAACCUCCAUGAGGACAGAAGCCUGGAUGUCUUUGCUUUCUUUUCUCACCUUCUGCAAGCCAGGAGAUGCAAUGUUUUAUGUGUUUGUGGUUAGCUUACCUUCCAGUCAUUGUUUUGAAAAACCAAACACCCUUGGAAAAACACACCCGUGAAGCCACACACGCAUUGUUUUGUUUCCACUAUUGUUCAUUGUGAUAUAUGACCGAAUUAAAAUACAAUGUGCUCCUGUCCCGCUUUUGGUGUCACACAUGCACAUCACAUGUGCCUCGAGUCUGUCUGGUCACAUUUUUCAGUAAUUGUCCAUUGUUCAAACCUUGUAAUCAACACCACUAACAAGAGCACAAGCACCUGCAAAUGUUCUCUUUUGUUGUUUUGCCAAUGAAACGUUGCAGGACAACCAGCAGCUGGCGUGCAGAGGAAGCAACAAAUGUUCUUUUCAACAAAAUGAAGCUAUACUGAUUAUCCCCCCACUGGUACAGCUUGACUCUGAUGAUCAGAUCUCUUCAUUCAUCAGUUUGCAUGUGGCUCACAUUAAACACAGUGACUCAGACGCUUUAUCAUAUGUGAACCAUAUGAUACACACAUAUUGCAAACGCAGUUUACACACGGUGAGCCAAGACUUUUAAAGUAUGCAUUGUGUCACACUACAAACAUUACACUGCAAUCAACAUGAGGAGCUACACGUUUAUUCAGGACUACAGCAAACUUUCAACAUGCAUAAGAAAUCUUAACAUCACUAAACCAUUAAUGACACUGGAACCAUCAUUAUAUUUCAUCGGUGGUGCUGGGACAACAUUUUUUUCUUUGCCCACCUUAAAGUUAGCAUGACAGGGGUUCGUUUGACCAACAGUGGACAAGAAGGCCUGUGUGACUUAAGCUUUGACUCCAUGAUCAAUAGGCUUUACACAAACUACACCACAGUCUCAUAGCUUUAAUGGCACGACCACCAAGCUCCUGCACUCAGUCCGAUGAUGCUGAAUAGCAAACAUUUGUUUGCAAAUAUCAAACAUAUCUAAAACUUUGGGUAUGUUGCUACAUUUUAUGUCUAAAUCUCACAACCAAAAACCUGCUGACUUCAUGAUGAGUGAACCAUUACAGUUCUUACUGGUUUCAGGGCUUGAUCCAGUAUUUGAGGUAAUCAGUUUUUAGCCUGGAAAUAUUGCUAAUUCUCUAUGUGAAAUAAAAAUAAUGCAUAUAUAUAUAUGUUCAUAACUUACAUGAUUAAGUUAUGUUGGCCCAUAGCCUAUCAGAUCAUAAAUUUACAUGGUGUAUUGCAGAGGAGAGAUAGUUGGGCAUUAACCUAUGAACUUUGUUAUAAAAAUGAAAUUCCACAUUUCAGAACUGGAGGACAUAUUGCGACUAAAUCACACCAGGACCACAUUCAUCUUAGAGCUCUGCCUUUGCUUCAUUGUAAAACCCCCAUAUCGAAAGGUUUCUUGACUCUUUUGCUUAGUUGUUAUGGUAACAAAGUGACAGAAAAGGCAGUGACUGAAUUGGUAGUUUAUGCUACCGUAGCAUUCUUCCUUUUGCCAAAUGAAUGUUUGCUCUUUAAAAAUGAAUUAAUAACAGGUUACAAGCCUGUCUGACAGCAAAUAAAGCUCUUAACAUCCACCUCAGUUCUAUGAAGCAGAACUUUGUUUUGUCCAGGUAACUUUAGGGUAACCCUGG